This is a long non-coding RNA of Acyrthosiphon pisum (pea aphid), 698 nucleotides long. RefSeq lists it as uncharacterized. The record is from RefSeq and is a predicted model, not a curated record. Lineage: Eukaryota; Metazoa; Arthropoda; Insecta; Hemiptera; Aphididae. The transcript has 3 exons.
GGGCAUUUGAAAAUCAGUGGCCGUUAGGGUGUUUUGACGCGAAGGUGUGGAGUAUUGCGCGAGCACUGAACCGUCUGAGAAAUUUCACACAUAUAAGUUCGCGAUAUUACGAUAUACUAUUAAUAUAGGUUUAAUACAGCGUAGGAACGAUUGUGCGUUUUGACACGAUAUAUCGGCCCUCGUUGACUGAUUAAUUUCGUCUUGGACAGUUGUUCGACACGUCUGAGAAGUUACGAAGAAGUGUGUCAAGCGAGGAAACGUCAUUUUAGGUAGAUUGACACGCGGUAUUGAUCGACAUCUCCGUUAAUUGCUAACAAUGAAUAGCAUUGACCUCAUCUGAUCUCAUUAUAUUGCAGCUGAAGGGUUAUAUCUAGGCUGUUCACGUUCAAAGCACAAAGCGUGGUUGGUACAAUAAUAUAAACGCACUCAAUAAUUGUGUCCACUCAACGAUCGUCUAUAUAGAUGAAGAAUAGCAAGAGAAGGCAAGUGAAAAUUCAUAUUUUUAACACGUUUGGUUACUCAAUAAAUACUUCAUGUUUCAUAAAUUGGUUUAUAAAUACAUAGAAGUCUUGGUCGUAGAUUUUUUUUGAGGCCUUGUCGCUAUUUAAAUUAUCAUGUAGCUUCUGUAAUUAUCUAAAAUGAGAUUGUCAUUUAGAAUUCGAUUUCGUUUUAUAUAAUAUUUAACUACCAAAAUAAUG